GACGAACGCUGGCGGCGUGCUUAACACAUGCAAGUCGAACGGAAAGGCCCUGCUUUUGUGGGGUGCUCGAGUGGCGAACGGGUGGGUAACACGUGAGUAACCUGCCCUUGACUUUGGGAUAACUUCAGGAAACUGGGGCUAAUACCGGAUAGGAGCUCCUGCUGCAUGGUGGGGGUUGGAAAGUUUCGGCGGUUGGGGAUGGACUCGCGGCUUAUCAGCUUGUUGGUGGGGUAGUGGCUUACCAAGGCUUUGACGGGUAGCCCGCCUGAGAGGGUGACCGGCCACAUUGGGACUGAGAUACGGCCCAGACUCCUACGGGAGGCAGCAGGGGGGAAUAUUGCACAAUGGGCGGAAGCCUGAUGCAGCAACGCCGCGUGCGGGAUGACGGCCUUCGGGUUGUAAACCGCUUUCGCCUGUGACGAAGCGUGAGUGACGGUAAUGGGUAAAGAAGCACCGGCUAACUACGUG
Molecule: ribosomal RNA, 468 nt
Filed under: uncultured bacterium
Lineage: Bacteria
Description: partial 16S ribosomal RNA
Rfam family: Bacterial small subunit ribosomal RNA
Source: RNAcentral